UACGUAGGGUGCGAGCGUUAAUCGGAAUUACUGGGCGUAAAGCGUGCGCAGGCGGUUAUGUAAGACAGGUGUGAAAUCCCCGGGCUUAACCUGGGAACUGCAUUUGUGACUGCAUAGCUAGAGUACGGUAGAGGGGGAUGGAAUUCCGCGUGUAGCAGUGAAAUGCGUAGAUAUGCGGAGGAACACCGAUGGCGAAGGCAAUCCCCUGGACCUGUACUGACGCUCAUGCACGAAAGCGUGGGAAGCAAACAGG
This 253-nucleotide ribosomal RNA is filed under the name uncultured bacterium. RNAcentral describes it as "partial 16S ribosomal RNA". It matches the Rfam family "Bacterial small subunit ribosomal RNA", at positions 524 to 776 of the family's 1533-position model. The record is from RNAcentral.